Molecule: ribosomal RNA, 464 nt
Filed under: uncultured bacterium
Lineage: Bacteria
Description: partial 16S ribosomal RNA
Rfam family: Bacterial small subunit ribosomal RNA
Source: RNAcentral
GACGAACGCUGGCGGCGUGCUUAACACAUGCAAGUCGUACGGCAAGGCCCUUUCGGGGGUACACUAGUGGCGACCGGUGGCGUAACACGGGAGUAAACUGCCCACACCUCUGGGUUAAGGCUAAGAAACUGGUGCUACUACUGCUUAUGUGCCCCUGCUGCAUCGUGGGGGUUCAAAAGCUCCGGCGGCAGUGGAUGGACGCACGGGCUAUGGGCGGGUUGGCGGGGUAGUGGCCUACCAAGCCAGCGACGGGUCGCCGGCCUGGGAGGGUGACCGGCGACAAUGGGACUGAGAGACGGACCAGACGCCUACGGGGGGCAGCAGGGGGGAGCAUGACACAACGGGCGCAAGCCUGAUGCAGAAGCGCCGCGUGCGGGAAGACGGCCUUCGGGGUGUGAACCGCUUUCAGCAGGGACGAAGCUUUUUGUGACGGAACCUGCAGAAGAGGCACGGGCAACCUCCGU